UUCAGCCCUGGCGCUACAAGAGAUAAGAGUCUCCUUCAGGGAAGACACAGCCACCUUCGGGUCAUUAUACAACACUUGAGCUGGGAGUCUGAGUACCUGAGCUCAUCCUUUUCUUCCACUACUUUGUCCAGCAACUAGUCGAUCUCAUUAUGUUCAUUAGUUUUUCCAAAAUGCUUGCAAAUAUUUACAGUAGCCAGGACAUGGAAGCAACCUAAAUAUCCAUCAACAGAGGAAUGGAUAAAGAAGAUGUGGCACAUAUAUACAGUGGAAUAUUACUCAGCCAUAAAAAAAGAAGAAAACAAUGCCAUUUGCAGCAGCAUGGAUGGACCUAGAGAUUGUCAUACAGAGUGAAUUUCCUUCCAGACUCAACUGGAGGUCAGAGGGCACAGGAGCCUGUGUGGUGUGGUCCAUGCACGUUCACCUUCGCAGAUCAGAGGGCAAGAUGGAAGAAAGUGGAGAAUGGGUGUGGGGAGACAAAUACACGCUUCUUCCUCAGACAACAUGAGUCUUUAGAGGUCUAUCCUGUAACGGCGACGUCUGGAUUUACGCGGGGCGGAGGGCCGGCUGCUGGGAUUUAAGGUUCGUAGUGACGCCCACACUGGAAGGUGGAGAAAGGUGGACCGCGUUGCACUGACUUAGAAAGGAGAAAUUUAACGCUUUCCAGGGACAUGGGCUCCGAGCUCUACGCUUCCGUUUCCAUAAAAAAAUCGGAAACAUAUUUUUUUAAUUGUUAGACUUUUUAAAAAAGAAAUGAAAAAGAAAAUAUUCUUUGGGGUCCAAAGUACAAGAAAUGAAAGAAAACUGAUUGUCACCAGAGA
Balaenoptera ricei (Rice's whale) is the source of this 818-nucleotide long non-coding RNA. RefSeq lists it as uncharacterized. The transcript has 3 exons. The record is from RefSeq and is a predicted model, not a curated record. Lineage: Eukaryota; Metazoa; Chordata; Mammalia; Artiodactyla; Balaenopteridae.